Molecule: ribosomal RNA, 176 nt
Filed under: uncultured bacterium
Lineage: Bacteria
Description: partial 16S ribosomal RNA
Rfam family: Bacterial small subunit ribosomal RNA
Source: RNAcentral
GCUGGAAUCGCUAGUAAUCGCAGGUCAGCAUACUGCGGUGAAUACGUUCCCGGGUCUUGUACACACCGCCCGUCACACCAUGGGAGCCGGAAAUGCCCGAAGCCAGUGACCCAACCUUAGGGAGGGAGCUGUCGAAGGUGGAGCCGGUAACUGGGGUGAAGUCGUAACAAGGUAUC